This 202-nucleotide long non-coding RNA is filed under the name Olea europaea (common olive). RNAcentral describes it as "long non-coding RNA (OEUR_LNC001020)". The record is from RNAcentral. Lineage: Eukaryota; Viridiplantae; Streptophyta; Magnoliopsida; Lamiales; Oleaceae.
UGAGAUUUUGAAUUACUUUGGACACAAUAGUCAUGAUUAAUUGUUAUCUAGAUGUGGAAAAUUUUUGAUUGAAGGAUAUAUUUUUGAAUUGGUUGAACUAGGUUGUGACUUGUGAGUUGUUUGGAAAUUUUUAUCAAUCUAUAUUCUCUUUUCUUUCACUUUACCACAUUUGAGAUAAGUUUGGGGGUGGUCGAGCCGGUGA